Molecule: ribosomal RNA, 645 nt
Filed under: Helcon sp. NL-2005
Lineage: Eukaryota; Metazoa; Arthropoda; Insecta; Hymenoptera; Braconidae
Description: eukaryotic LSU rRNA
Rfam family: Eukaryotic large subunit ribosomal RNA
Source: RNAcentral
CCUGAGAAACCCAAAAGAUCGAAUGGGGAGAUUCAACGUCAGCGCAUUUGGUAUAUGUGCAAGUUAUGAUGUUAGUUGUCCUUAUGGACAUUACUUGGCACGUGCUUGUAUCAUUUAAUUGCCGGAUGUCGUCGGCGUGCACUUCUCCCCUAGUAGGACGUCGCGACCCGUUGGGUGUCGGUUUACGGCCCGAAUGGUAGUCUUCGAUGUUCACCGUUAAAACGUGUAAUAUUGAAGACCAUCGGUGUUUUCUGACCGGCUGCCCGGCGGUAUUCGCACGGUAUUGAGCCGCAAUUUUUGCGUCAAACCCGCCGCAAGCGAGGCCAGUGUCUAACCCGGCAGUGCGGACCUAGUGCCGUCGCUGGGCCUGGCCAGCUGUUGGUUGUUGCGGUGUUCUUUGACUGGCUCUAUAUGAUAAUAUAAUUACCGGUCGGCGACGCUACUGCUUUGGGUACUUUCAGGACCCGUCUUGAAACACGGACCAAGGAGUCUAACAUGUGCGCGAGUCAUUGGGAUUUAUUUUUUUAAAACAAACCUAAAGGCGCAAUGAAAGUAAAGGUCGUCCUUGCGUCGACCGAGGGAGGAUGAGUCGCGUUACGAUGCGGCUCCGCACUCCCGGGGCGUCUCGUUCACAUUAUGCGAAGA